UACGUAGGUGGCAAGCGUUGUCCGGAAUUAUUGGGCGUAAAGCGCGCGCAGGCGGUUUUUUAAGUCUGAUGUGAAAGCCCACGGCUCAACCGUGGAGGGUCAUUGGAAACUGGGGAACUUGAGUACAGAAGAGGAAAGCGGAAUUCCACGUGUAGCGGUGAAAUGCGUAGAGAUGUGGAGGAACACCAGUGGCGAUGGCGGCUUUCUGGUCUGUAACUGACGCUGAGGCGCGAAAGCGUGGGGAGCAAACAGG
Molecule: ribosomal RNA, 253 nt
Filed under: uncultured bacterium
Lineage: Bacteria
Description: partial 16S ribosomal RNA
Rfam family: Bacterial small subunit ribosomal RNA
Source: RNAcentral